UACGUAGGGUGCGAGCGUUGUCCGGAAUUACUGGGCGUAAAGAGCUCGUAGGUGGUUUGUCGCGUUGUCCGUGAAAACUCACAACUCAAUUGUGGGCGUGCGGGCGAUACGGGCUGACUGGAGUACUGCAGGGGAGACUGGAAUUCCUGGUGUAGCGGUGGAAUGCGCAGAUAUCGGGAGGAACACCGGUGGCGAAGGCGGGUCUCUGGGCAGUAACUGACGCUGAGGAGCGAAAGCGUGGGUAGCAAACAGG
Molecule: ribosomal RNA, 253 nt
Filed under: uncultured prokaryote
Description: partial 16S ribosomal RNA
Rfam family: Bacterial small subunit ribosomal RNA
Source: RNAcentral